Molecule: ribosomal RNA, 254 nt
Filed under: uncultured bacterium
Lineage: Bacteria
Description: partial 16S ribosomal RNA
Rfam family: Bacterial small subunit ribosomal RNA
Source: RNAcentral
GACGUAGGGCGCGAGCGUUGUCCGGAUUUAUUGGGCGUAAAGAGCUCGUAGGCGGCUUGUCGCGUCGUUCGUGAAAACCUGCAGCUCAACUGCAGGCUUGCGGUCGAUACGGGCAGGCUAGAGUUCGGUAGGGGAGACUGGAAGUUCCUGGUGUAGCGGUGAAAUGCGCAGAUAUCAGGAGGAACACCGGUGGCGAAGGCGGGUCUCUGGGCCGAUACUGACGCUGAGGAGCGAAAGCGUGGGGAGCGAACAGG